UUUGUUGUGUGGUUGUUGUUAUAUGACUUUUUUAUGUGGCUCGUUUCCAUUUUACAAAUUUGUGUUGUUGUUGAUUGUUGAGAUGGUGGAGAGAAAAAGGUGGUGAUGAAUGGAUUAUGGAAGGCGAGUUUAUUGAAGUUUGAUGAUUUUUUUUUGUUAUGUUUUAUUUUUGAUUUUCUAUUUUCAUUAAAAUGGUUUAAAUGUUGUAUUGAGAGGUUGUUUAUUAUUGUUUGAAGAUGCUAAUGGUUGAGAAGGUUAGGUUCUUAUUGAAAGUGAGAAUUAUCGUGUAAGGUGAAGAUAAUGAUGUGAUGGUAAUAUGGUUUUGGUCGUAAUGAAAGGAGAAGUGCGAAGGCCAUUUUUUUUGUUACAGAUGAUGAAGGUUUAUGUGGAGGUUUAUUGGUUUGAAGUAUGAAUGUGAUAAGUGGUGGAGAGAAUGGUUGAUGGAUGUAGGAGAAAGAUGAAUAUGAAAGGAGGGGGAAAGAGCAAAUUUCAUGUAUGUUUGUGUAUGAGAAAGGAGACUGAUUUUUCUUCUUUUUGUAAGGACUUUUGUUAACUUUUAGAUCCAUUUUUUGUGGAAGAUUUUGAUUAGUGGAAGAUCAUAUGAGGUGUGAAGAUAUUUGUGAGUGAAUAAUGAGUGAAUAGUG
Molecule: long non-coding RNA, 644 nt
Filed under: Lathyrus oleraceus (garden pea)
Lineage: Eukaryota; Viridiplantae; Streptophyta; Magnoliopsida; Fabales; Fabaceae
Description: Pisum sativum (pea) long non-coding RNA (PSAT_LNC023756)
Source: RNAcentral